This 429-nucleotide ribosomal RNA is filed under the name Bacteroidota bacterium. RNAcentral's name for it is "Bacteroidetes bacterium partial 16S ribosomal RNA". It matches the Rfam family "Bacterial small subunit ribosomal RNA", at positions 355 to 776 of the family's 1533-position model. Lineage: Bacteria; Pseudomonadati; Bacteroidota. The record is from RNAcentral.
UAGGGAAUCUUCCGCAAUGGACGCAAGUCUGACGGAGCAACGCCGCGUGAGUGAAGAAGGAUUUCGGUUCGUAAAACUCUGUUGUUAGAGAAGAACAGCGCAUAGAGUAACUGUUAUGCGUGUGACGGUAUCUAACCAGAAAGCCACGGCUAACUACGUGCCAGCAGCCGCGGUAAUACGUAGGUGGCAAGCGUUGUCCGGAUUUAUUGGGCGUAAAGCGAGCGCAGGCGGUCAAUUAAGUCUGAUGUGAAAGCCCCCGGCUCAACCGGGGAGGGUCAUUGGAAACUGGUUGACUUGAGUGCAGAAGAGGAGAGUGGAAUUCCAUGUGUAGCGGUGAAAUGCGUAGAUAUUAGGAAGAACACCAGUGGCGAAGGCGACUUUCUGGACGAACACUGACGCUGAGGCGCGAAAGCCAGGGGAGCGAACGGG